This 148-nucleotide small RNA is filed under the name Pongo abelii (Sumatran orangutan). RNAcentral describes it as "Metazoan signal recognition particle RNA (ENSPPYG00000035431.1)". The record is from Rfam by way of RNAcentral. Lineage: Eukaryota; Metazoa; Chordata; Mammalia; Primates; Hominidae.
GCCAGGCGUGGUGGUGGGCACCUGUAAUCCCAGCUACUUGGGAGGCUGAGGCAGAAGGAUCACUUGAGCCCGGGAGGUAGAGGUUGCAGUGAGCCAAGAUAGCACCACUGCACUCCAGCCUGGGCGACAGAGUGAGAUCCUGUCUCUA